ACACAAGAGGAAGGGGGACAUUAGCCUCCAGCAGACUCCAUCCCCAUUGCGCAACCCCGACUGGCCCCAGACCCGGCAUGGAAGGUUUGGGUCUGAGGAGUCCCACCCCACAGCCAGGUGACGCCCCAGCCCCUCCGAGCCCUCGCCCGCCCUGUGGAAACAGCACGGCCUGUGGCCAAAGGCUUCCGGCCAUAGGGCACCUGACACCAAGGCACGACACACAGAGGCCAGCCUUGCAGGACCCGCUGCUGCCCUCGCUGUGGGCCUCUGAGCCCUUCUCAGGACCUUCAGGACCUGUAGAAAGGUGGGGGGUGUGGGGGUGGCCUCGCCAGCCUGCCCUGGAGCAAUUCCUUCAGCUUCCAAGAUGCUGCAGGCUCAAAUGGAGCUCUCACAAACACAGCCAGGGCACAGCCCACCCCAGGGUCGGGGUCCGGGGAGCCCCCUCCUCUACACAGUGGGGAAACAGACUCCUGAACUUGCCAAGUCAGCAUCUGGGAUCCUUCCAGUCCACUUCGCCUGAUCACCCAGGAACUUCUCACAAGCUAUGUGUGCCCACAGCAUAUGCUGCAGCACACCAAUAAAAGGAUGCUUGGGAGCCCCCUAUUCAGCCCUGGACCAGGCCUAGGGCCCAGCAGAGCCACUGGCCCAGCCACAGGCAGGAGCAGGAGGGCUCCCUGGAACACCAGCUGGGAAGCAGUGACCAAGUAAACUCCAGAGACCCUUCCGGCUCCCUCACUCUGACAGAGCUAGGACAAGAACGCACCAAUGACUAUGGACCCACGUGUGGGGUCUCCCUCUGGGUGGAGUCGGGUGGGGGGUACCCACUGUCCCAUGUGGAACACGUGGUACCCCCUGCAUCUGAUGCCUUGCAAAGGACAAGCAGCUACCAUCCUCAUUUUCCAGGUGCAGAGGCCACAAGGAACAAAGUGUCCCCACCACCAGCAGAGCUGACAGCCCCAGCCUUGGAGAGAAGCUGGCAGAGACUCAGAAAGAAGACGCCAUUCCCAGUCACACCACUCUCCUGAAGGCUCUCCGCAGCGCAAUCCUCAGCACGGCCACAGGGCCCCUGCUCACCACAGCACCCCCAUGGGACUGUGCUCCCGGGGAUGGCCCUGAGCCAGGGGGAGGACCCAGCCACUGUGUGUGACCAACAGCCCAAGAUGGGCACUAACUUGUUCUCUGCCCUUCGCUGCCACAGAACCAUUCAGGAGGUGGGUGCACUUUCAGCCCACCCGCCUCCCCCUGCUGGUUCCCACAGGGUGAGCGAGGAGCUCCCAGCACUUCCCUCUCCAUGAGCCCACAAUCGGAGGAGGGAUGGGCUGGAACCCAAGUCCACAGCUGCCCCGUCAGCCUCAGCACCUUCGCUGGGUGACCCUUCUCCUGUCUGAGCAGUCCGCCCCCUCAGAUACAACUGGGGUUUCACACCCACUUCCCAGUAAGGGUUAAAGACAGUGAUCAGGCUGGCAGGUGGCAUCCGGAGAAGGGAUGCAGACAGGCCAUCCCACAGGUCGCCAGCAAUGCCCUGCCUGCCCAUAGCCAGCACCUCACCUCAGAACCCACAGGCUACCAUCCCCCACAUCGGGCCACCUGUAGGCACAGACAGGUGGCCACACACCCACGGCCCCAGACCAAGGGGCUGCC
This 1641-nucleotide long non-coding RNA is filed under the name Homo sapiens (human). RNAcentral describes it as "HSALNT0379095". The record is from RNAcentral. Lineage: Eukaryota; Metazoa; Chordata; Mammalia; Primates; Hominidae.